CAGGGUUGAUGUGCAACACGUGUUUGCGGUCUUUUUCAUGCCGUAGGAUAUCAGCUAGAAAAUGUGAAACGAGAUGACAAUCUCGAUAUCAAUGUUUGUUCGCUACACGAAGACGGCAAAUGUUAUCGGGAGAUUAGCGACAGCGCCAUAGAGAAUGUUGCAGUAAAUGUUACACAAGGAUCACUUUCUUGUUUUAAUAGCAGACUUAUAUCAUAUUUGCUGAAUUCUUGACGUCCUCGUACAGCAUGUCUCUGCUUACAAUAUUGAACGCGACAGUUAUGACAUUUAGCGGA
Molecule: long non-coding RNA, 293 nt
Organism: Pseudomyrmex gracilis
Lineage: Eukaryota; Metazoa; Arthropoda; Insecta; Hymenoptera; Formicidae
Exons: 3
Source: RefSeq, a predicted model, not a curated record